ACCACACAUUCACUUUAUCCCUUUUUUCCAUCUUCCUCACACCUCACAUUCACUUUAUCCCUUUUCCCCCAACUCCCUCAGGUGCACACACUCACUUUUCACUACUCAUCCUUGGCUCACUCAUAAAUUAUUUCUCACAACUCAUACUCACACUCUUUCUCUUUAACAACUCACACCACCCGUGUCGUUUACAUAUAUAAAAACACUCUAUCAUACAGAGGAGGAGAACGCUACUGACUAAAAAGAAGAGCAGACAUUCUGAAAAGAAAAAAAAAACGAAGCAACAUCAACCAUAAACCUAGCUCCAAAACAGUCCAUAAACCACCCUUAAACUAAUCUGAGAGCACCAAAAGAGGUCCUUUGUGAGUCUGGGUUCGUAAGCUUUUAUUUGAGGUUGCCGUUCGAUUUCCGGUCUUGUGGUCGAGGUCCUGGUUUUCGAAUUGUUGUUCAAUCCGUUCAAUCAAAGAGCCUUUAAAAUUUGAGUUUUGAGUUUACGAUAAGAAGGGAAGAGGAAAGAGUUUUGGGUAAGAUUUUGCCUUCGUUGAUGAGAGAAGGAACGAAAAGAGUGAGAUUUUGGGUUUGUGGUGAUGGAGAGAUUAGUGGAGAAAGAAUCACUAUAAUUUUGAAAAUUUGGUGGAAUAUGUGAGACUUUUAAUCUCUAAUACAUCAUCCCUGGAAUCAUGGGUCAGUUUUAAAAAAUAAAGACUGAUGGUAAUGUAUCAAUUUUGAAAUAUGCUAUAUAUGUAAAUGAAUGUGCUACAUAUGAAAUAAAACAAAAGUAAUAUUGUUUAUAUAAAUA
Long non-coding RNA from Nicotiana tabacum (common tobacco), 799 nucleotides. RefSeq lists it as uncharacterized. Lineage: Eukaryota; Viridiplantae; Streptophyta; Magnoliopsida; Solanales; Solanaceae. The record is from RefSeq and is a predicted model, not a curated record.